RNAcentral lists this ribosomal RNA (523 nucleotides) under Limosilactobacillus reuteri. Its description in RNAcentral is "bacterial SSU rRNA". It matches the Rfam family "Bacterial small subunit ribosomal RNA", at positions 193 to 703 of the family's 1533-position model. Lineage: Bacteria; Bacillati; Bacillota; Bacilli; Lactobacillales; Lactobacillaceae. The record is from RNAcentral.
CUUUUGUUUGAAAGAUGGCUUUGGCUAUCACUCUGGGAUGGACCUGCGGUGCAUUAGCUAGUUGGUAAGGUAACGGCUUACCAAGGCGAUGAUGCAUAGCCGAGUUGAGAGACUGAUCGGCCACAAUGGAACUGAGACACGGUCCAUACUCCUACGGGAGGCAGCAGUAGGGAAUCUUCCACAAUGGGCGCAAGCCUGAUGGAGCAACACCGCGUGAGUGAAGAAGGGUUUCGGCUCGUAAAGCUCUGUUGUUGGAGAAGAACGUGCGUGAGAGUAACUGUUCACGCAGUGACGGUAUCCAACCAGAAAGUCACGGCUAACUACGUGCCAGCAGCCGCGGKAAUACGUAGGUGGCAAGCGUUAUCCGGAUUUAUUGGGCGUAAAGCGAGCGCAGGCGGUUGCUUAGGUCUGAUGUGAAAGCCUUCGGCUUAACCGAAGAAGUGCAUCGGAAACCGGGCGACUUGAGUGCAGAAGAGGACAGUGGAACUCCAUGUGUAGCGGUGGAAUGCGUAGAUAUAUGGAA